AAAGACUUAGUCCUGACCUUACAGUUGGUUUUUGCUAGACAUAUACAUGCAAGUAUCCGCGCCCCAGUGUAAAUGCCCUCAACAACCUGCCCCCCCCCGCAGGCCUUAAGGAGCGGGUAUCAGGCACACCCAAGCAGUAGCCCAAGACGCCUUGCCAAGCCACACCCCCACGGGUAUUCAGCAGUAGUUAACAUUAAGCAAUGAGUGCAAACUCGACUUAGUCAUAGCAAAUUUCACUUUUCCCCCAAGGGUCGGUAAAUCUUGUGCCAGCCACCGCGGUCAUACAAGAGACCCAAAUCAACUGUCCUACACGAACGGCGUAAAGAGUGGUAAAAUGCUUAUCCUACCCAACUAAGAUCAAAACGCAACUAAGCUGUCGCAAGCACAAGAUGCACCUAAACACACCAUAAAGAUGAUCUUAGGGACUAGCGAUUGAUUUAAACCCACGAAAGCCAGGGCCCAAACUGGGAUUAGAUACCCCACUAUGCCUGGCCCUAAAUCUUGAUACUUACCAUACCGAAGUAUCCGCCAGAGAACUACGAGCACAAACGCUUAAAACUCUAAGGACUUGGCGGUGCCCUAAACCCACCUAGAGGAGCCUGUUCUGUAAUCGAUGAUCCACGAUCAACCCAACCGCCCCUUGCCAAACACAGCCUACAUACCGCCGUCGCCAGCCCACCUCGAAUGAGAGCACAACAGUGGACACAACAGCACCCCGCUAAUAAGACAGGUCAAGGUAUAGCCCAUGGGGCGGAAGAAAUGGGCUACAUUCCCUAUUCAUAGGGCAUGCACGGAAAGAGGCAUGAAACUGCCUCUGGAAGGAGGAUUUAGCAGUAAAGUAGGAUAAUAAAGCCCACUUUAAGCCGGCCCUAGGGCACGUACAUACCGCCCGUCACCCUCCUCAUAGGCCACAUCCCCCCAUAACUAAUACCAGUAAUAUGCCGAAGAUGAGGUAAGUCGUAACAAGGUAAGUGUACCGGAAGGUGUACUUAGAAUACU
Molecule: non-coding RNA, 999 nt
Filed under: Bucephala albeola (bufflehead)
Lineage: Eukaryota; Metazoa; Chordata; Aves; Anseriformes; Anatidae
Description: 12S ribosomal RNA
Rfam family: Bacterial small subunit ribosomal RNA
Source: RNAcentral